AACGAACGCUGGCGGCGUGGAUAAGACAUGCAAGUCGAACGGAAACUAUGAAUAGCUUGCUAAUUGUAGUUUUAGUGGCGGACGAGUGAGUAACACGUGAGUAACUUGCCCUAAAGUGGGGGAUAGCCUUUGGAAACGAAGAGUAAUACCGCAUGUGACCUCCGGGUCAAAGAUAGCUUCGGCUGUCGCUUUAGGAUAGGCUCGCGGCCUAUUAGUUAGUUGGUGAGGUAACGGCUCACCAAGACAAUGACGGGUACCUGUUCUGAGAGGAAGAUCAGGCACGCUGGAACUGAGACACGGUCCAGACACCUACGGGUGGCAGCAGUCGAGAAUCAUUCACAAUGGGGGAAACCCUGAUGGUGCAACGCCGCGUGGAGGAUGAAGGCCCUAGGGUCGUAAACUCCUGUCAUCAAGGAGUAAGACUUAUUAGUUAAUAGCUAGUAAGUUUGAUAGUACUUGAAGAGGAAGGGACGGCUAACUUCG
RNAcentral lists this ribosomal RNA (483 nucleotides) under uncultured Verrucomicrobiaceae bacterium. RNAcentral's name for it is "bacterial SSU rRNA". It matches the Rfam family "Bacterial small subunit ribosomal RNA", at positions 29 to 505 of the family's 1533-position model. Lineage: Bacteria; Pseudomonadati; Verrucomicrobiota; Verrucomicrobiia; Verrucomicrobiales; Verrucomicrobiaceae. The record is from RNAcentral.